Molecule: ribosomal RNA, 301 nt
Filed under: uncultured bacterium
Lineage: Bacteria
Description: partial 16S ribosomal RNA
Rfam family: Bacterial small subunit ribosomal RNA
Source: RNAcentral
CAGUAGCCGCGGGAAUACGUAGGUGGCAAGCGUUGUCCGGAAUUAUUGGGCGUAAAGGGCUCGCAGGCGGUUUCUUAAGUCUGGUGUGAAAUCCCCGGGCUCAACCUGGGAAUGGCAGUGGAUACUGGCUCGCUAGAGUGUGUCAGAGGAUGGUGGAAUUCCCGGUGUAGCGGUGAAAUGCGUAGAGAUCGGGAGGAACAUCAGUGGCGAAGGCGGCCAUCUGGGACAACACUGACGCUGAGGCACGAAAGCGUGGGGAGCAAACAGGAUUAGAUACCCCUGUAGUCCCUGUCUCUUAUAC